RNAcentral lists this ribosomal RNA (492 nucleotides) under uncultured bacterium. RNAcentral's name for it is "partial 16S ribosomal RNA". It matches the Rfam family "Bacterial small subunit ribosomal RNA", at positions 29 to 507 of the family's 1533-position model. The record is from RNAcentral.
AGUGAACGCUGGCGGUAGGCCUAACACAUGCAAGUCGAACGGCAGCACAGUAAGAGCUUGCUCUUACGGGUGGCGAGUGGCGGACGGGUGAGGAAUACAUCGGAAUCUACUUUUUCGUGGGGGAUAACGUAGGGAAACUUACGCUAAUACCGCAUACGACCUACGGGUGAAAGCAGGGGAUCUUCGGACCUUGCGCGAUUGAAUGAGCCGAUGUCGGAUUAGCUAGUUGGCGGGGUAAAGGCCCACCAAUGCGACGAUCCGUAGCUGGUCUGAGAGGAUGAUCAGCCACACUGGAACUGAGACACGGUCCAGACUCCUACGGGAGGCAGCAGUGGGGAAUAUUGGACAAUGGGCGCAAGCCUGAUCCAGCCAUACCGCGUGGGUGAAGAAGGCCUUCGGGUUGUAAAGCCCUUUUGUUGGGAAAGAAAAGCAGCAGGUUAAUACCCCGCUGUUCUGACGGUACCCAAAGAAUAAGCACCGGCUAACUUCGUG